RNAcentral lists this ribosomal RNA (528 nucleotides) under uncultured Glomeromycotina. RNAcentral describes it as "SSU rRNA". It matches the Rfam family "Eukaryotic small subunit ribosomal RNA", at positions 569 to 1092 of the family's 1831-position model. Lineage: Eukaryota; Fungi; Glomeromycota. The record is from RNAcentral.
AGCAGCCGCGGUAAUUCCAGCUCCAAUAGCGUAUAUUAAAGUUGUUGCAGUUAAAAAGCUCGUAGUUGAAUUUCGGGAUUGACGUGAUGGUCGUGCCUUAAGGGGUAUGAACUGUUGCUGUUGAUUUCUCACCUUCUGGAGAAACUUGAUGUCCUUAAUUGGGUGUCUUGCGGAUCCAGGACCUUUACCUUGAAAAAAUUAGAGUGUUUAAAGCAGGCAUUUUGCUCGAAUACAUUAGCAUGGAAUAAUAGAAUAGGACGGCAUGGUUCUAUUUUGUUGGUUUCUAGGAUCACCGUAAUGAUUAAUAGGGAUAGUUGGGGGCAUUAGUAUUCAAUUGUCAGAGGUGAAAUUCUUGGAUUUAUUGAAGACUAACUACUGCGAAAGCAUUUGCCAAGGAUGUUUUCAUUAAUCAAGAACGAAAGUUAGGGGAUCGAAGACGAUCAGAUACCGUCGUAGUCUUAACCAUAAACUAUGCCGACUAGGAAUCAGACGAUGUUAAUUUUUUAAUGACUCGUUUGGCACCUUACG